RNAcentral lists this ribosomal RNA (516 nucleotides) under uncultured bacterium. Its description in RNAcentral is "bacterial SSU rRNA". It matches the Rfam family "Bacterial small subunit ribosomal RNA", at positions 8 to 521 of the family's 1533-position model. The record is from RNAcentral.
AGAGUUUGAUCCUGGCUCAGGACGAACGCUGGCGGCGCGCCUAACACAUGCAAGUCGAACGGAGUUGAUUUUUCUGAAGUUUUCGGAUGGACGAGAGAUUAACUUAGUGGCGAACGGGUGAGUAACGCGUGGGUAACCUGCCUUUCAGAGGGGGACAACAGUUGGAAACGACUGCUAAUACCGCAUAAGACCACAGUACCGCAUGGUACAGUGAUCAAAGGAGCAAUCCGCUGAAAGAUGGGCCCGCGUCUGAUUAGAUAGUUGGUGGGGUAACGGCCUACCAAGUCGACGAUCAGUAGCCGGACUGAGAGGUUGAUCGGCCACAUUGGGACUGAGACACGGCCCAGACUCCUACGGGAGGCAGCAGUGGGGAAUAUUGCACAAUGGGGGAAACCCUGAUGCAGCGACGCCGCGUGAGGGAAGAAGGUAUUCGUAUUGUAAACCUCUGUCUUCGGGGACGAUAAUGACGGUACCCGAGGAGGAAGCACCGGCUAACUACGUGCCAGCAGCCGCGGU